Molecule: ribosomal RNA, 205 nt
Filed under: uncultured Anaerolineaceae bacterium
Lineage: Bacteria; Bacillati; Chloroflexota; Anaerolineae; Anaerolineales; Anaerolineaceae
Description: partial 16S ribosomal RNA
Rfam family: Bacterial small subunit ribosomal RNA
Source: RNAcentral
ACGUCAAGUCAGCAUGGCCGUUUAUAUCCUGGGCUACACACACGCUACAAUGGGAAGGGACAAUAGGUUGCGAAGCCGCGAGGCGGAGCCAAUCCAGCAAAACUUCCCUCAGUUCAGAUUGCAGGCUGCAACUCGCCUGCAUGAAGUUGGAGUUGCUAGUAAGCGCAGGUCAGCCAUACUGCGUUGAAUACGUUCCCGGGGCGUU